UUCUCCAACCUUGCUUCCCUUCUCCCUUGUCAAUGUGGGGAAACAGGAAGGAAUGUUUAUUAACAAGGCCAUUUGGGGUCACACCCAAGGCGAUAUCAGACUUUUACGUCUCUUAGGCCUUGGAAGAGGUUCAAGGAUCAAGGCCAGCCU
Dipodomys ordii (Ord's kangaroo rat) is the source of this 150-nucleotide unclassified non-coding RNA. NCBI's taxonomy places the organism in Eukaryota, Metazoa, Chordata, Mammalia, Rodentia, Heteromyidae. The record is from Ensembl.